UACGUAGGGUCCGAGCGUUGUCCGGAAUUACUGGGCGUAAAGAGCUCGUAGGUGGUUUGUCGCGUUGUUCGUGAAAACUCACAGCUUAACUGUGGGCGUGCGGGCGAUACGGGCAGACUGGAGUACUGCAGGGGAGACUGGAAUUCCUGGUGUAGCGGUGGAAUGCGCAGAUAUCAGGAGGAACACCGGUGGCGAAGGCGGGUCUCUGGGCAGUAACUGACGCUGAGGAGCGAAAUCGUGGGGAGCGAACAGG
RNAcentral lists this ribosomal RNA (253 nucleotides) under uncultured bacterium. RNAcentral describes it as "partial 16S ribosomal RNA". It matches the Rfam family "Bacterial small subunit ribosomal RNA", at positions 524 to 776 of the family's 1533-position model. The record is from RNAcentral.